CGCAUUGUGGCCUCGCAUGGUUCCCCGUGAUGCGCAAAGCGCUUCGGGGAAAAAUGGGAAUUCGGUAGGCGUGACCCAAAUAGGGGCGCAAAUCCGGAGCCGCCCCCGCGACUGUAUGCGGAGAGCGUCUUGCCAAAUGCCACUGGAGCGAUCCGGGAAGGCGGCAAAACGCAUCGACCCGCAAGCCAGGAGACCAGCCAUGCGCAAUGAAACCCC
RNAcentral lists this non-coding RNA (216 nucleotides) under Litoreibacter arenae. Lineage: Bacteria; Pseudomonadati; Pseudomonadota; Alphaproteobacteria; Rhodobacterales; Roseobacteraceae. The record is from RNAcentral. RNAcentral also lists the same sequence under 1 other name.